Molecule: transfer RNA, 74 nt
Filed under: Streptomycetaceae bacterium
Lineage: Bacteria; Bacillati; Actinomycetota; Actinomycetes; Kitasatosporales; Streptomycetaceae
Also listed under: 1 other name
Description: tRNA-Thr
Rfam family: tRNA
About the family: Transfer RNA (tRNA) molecules are approximately 80 nucleotides in length.
Source: RNAcentral
GCCCCGAUAGCUCAGCUGGCCAGAGCGCCGCUCUUGUAAAGCGGAAGUCGUCGGUUCGAACCCGACUCGGGGCU